Long non-coding RNA from Mastomys coucha (southern multimammate mouse), 627 nucleotides. RefSeq lists it as uncharacterized. The record is from RefSeq and is a predicted model, not a curated record. The transcript is spliced from 2 exons. NCBI's taxonomy places the organism in Eukaryota, Metazoa, Chordata, Mammalia, Rodentia, Muridae.
UCUUGAGUUACACUCUCAUCCCAUCACAUUUGUUUGAAAAUCAAAGCGUUAAUAUCACUGGGAUUAAAGAAUACAAAAUUGAAUUUUCCUCCAGUGGUGUAAGUCUAGCUGCCUUCAAUGACAAUAAAACAUCUAAGGCUUUGUGAAACCUUAAGUAUGAGGUACCUGAUAUCUCUAUGAGGUUUUGUUCCCAUCAUGCCAUUUGAUCAUUGCUGCAACCUGAUUGGAGGAGGCACCUGACAAAUGAGAACGUUGAUGGAGUCGGGACUAGAUAACCUGCAUAAGGUCACGUAACCAAGGGAAGACUUCCAUAUUAGAUACAGAUACACCGCGUUUUGAGACAAUCGCUUAAGUGAAUUCGGAGGAAGAACUGGAAGUCACCGAAGCUGAAGAGGAAAGAGGGAGCAGGCAUCUUUCCCCUCAAAGUUCUACAGCUUGAGGUUAUUAGCCAAACGGAUCUUCCCAUUUGUUUCGAAUACUUAAAAAAAAAUAAAUAAAUAACGUGAGAGAUAUUUAAAUUUUGGCAACAACAACAACAACAAAAAUAAUCAGAAGGAGAUAAAAGGAAACGCCUUUCGAGAAAUUGUUUAAAUACAAGAGUGUGAUUAAAGAUAGAACACAAACAAA